Long non-coding RNA from Pantherophis guttatus, 760 nucleotides. RefSeq lists it as uncharacterized. The record is from RefSeq and is a predicted model, not a curated record. NCBI's taxonomy places the organism in Eukaryota, Metazoa, Chordata, Lepidosauria, Squamata, Colubridae.
CAGCGUCCAGCGCUUCUGAUAAAUUUUGAGGAGGCGGGCCCCGAGCGUUCUGCCCGGGGAUGUACAAGGGCGUGGCAGCCCGUGGAGUAACGCGUGGUUAUGGUUGAAGUUCAAGUUCGACUUUGAUUCUUCACAGCUUUCUCAAAUCAUUGCAAUGGUACAGAUUUGUGAGACCAAUUUGGAUAGAUUUAAGCUGAGAGGGGGGAAAAAACCUGCUUCUGAUUUACAGGUUAUGAAUAUAAGAAUUGAAAGUUGGUACUUCAGUUGCCUAGGCAACACUGCAGAGGAAAAGAUCAGCACUCUGGAUUUACUACAAGUAUGCUUAGAUGAUCCUCUUAGGUGCAGCAAUUCUCAUCAAGAAUACAGUUUAUUUUACAAUCUCCACAUUAGGAAGUUCAAUUUGGGCAAGGUCACAUCACGCAACAGAUGCCAGUAUUGAGCUAAGACAGCACCUGCUUAGCUUCCAAACGCUCACAAGUCAGCAAAGCGCUGUGGCUUAAGUUAAUAGUAAUCUGCUUUUCCCGGAAGGAAGGUGGUGAGGAAGCAGAGAAAUGAUCUGGUUUCAUGAGAUCUUUCAGGACUUGACAAAAUAAGCAGUGCAGUAUACCUGAUAGUUCCCUUUCUUAAGCUGACUCCUUGGAUCACUGGUCAUAAUACCUGGGAUGAUGGGAACUGUGGUCCAACACAUGAAGGCAACAUUAGAGAUGGCUAAGCUAUAGCAAUAUAUUUCCUCAAUAAAGAUAUCUUUUGCCAGCAAACA